This 499-nucleotide long non-coding RNA is filed under the name Homo sapiens (human). RNAcentral's name for it is "HSALNT0233710". The record is from RNAcentral. Lineage: Eukaryota; Metazoa; Chordata; Mammalia; Primates; Hominidae.
AUUUUUUCAUCCUUCUGUCUAAAUACUGGUCCCAGUUUGAAUGCUGUCUUUUCACUAUGUAAUGAGCUACGACAAUUCACAAUACCUGGAUGAAGAAAGAGCUCCAUUCAUUGAACACCUACAAUACAGCAGAAAUGAUUUUUCUGGACAACAAACAAAACUGGAGCUAAUUUUCUAGUGGCGACGGGGAGAUAGCAAACAAAUGAUGUGCUUCCAGGCACUGCAGACUUUGAGUAAAGAAGAUUACCUUCCAUAAUGUUGGUGAGCCUUAUCCAAUCAUUUGAAGGCCAUAAGAGAAAAGACAGAGGUCUCUCAAAGAGGAAGGAAUUCUGCCUCCAGACUGCAUCAUCGAAAUUCUGCCUGAGUUUCCAGCCUUCAAACUCAAGACUACAAAAUCUCUUGGCAGAAUUUCCAGGCUGCUAGCCUGUCUUGUGGAUUUUGGACUUGCCUGCCCCCACAAUUGUGUGAGCCAAUUCCUUAAAAUAAAUCUCUUUCUGCA